Molecule: ribosomal RNA, 447 nt
Filed under: uncultured bacterium
Lineage: Bacteria
Description: bacterial SSU rRNA
Rfam family: Bacterial small subunit ribosomal RNA
Source: RNAcentral
GCCCAGACUCCUACGGGAGGCAGCAGUGGGGGAUAUUGCACAAUGGGGGGAACCCUGAUGCAGCGACGCCGCGUGGGUGAAGGAGUGCUUCGGCAUGUAAAGCUCUAUCAGCAGGGAAGAAGAUGACGGUACCUGACUAAGAAGCCCUGGCUAACUACGUGCCAGCAGCCGCGGUAAUACGUAGGGGGCAAGCGUUAUCCGGAUUUACUGGGUGUAAAGGGAGCGUAGACGGCGAUGCAAGCCAGAUGUGAAAGCCCGGGGCUCAACCCCGGGACUGCAUUUGGAACUGUGUGGCUGGAGUGUCGGAGAGGCAGGCGGAAUUCCUAGUGUAGCGGUGAAGUGCGUAGAUAUUAGGAGGAACACCAGUGGCGAAGGCGGUCUGCUGGACAGCAACUGACGCUGAGGCGCGAAAGCGUGGGGAGCAAACAGGAUUAGAUACCCCAGUAC